AUGGGACUGACAUUUUUCUUAAAACAACCUCGGAAUGGGUGGUUGGAGAGAAAGAUCAAAGAUCCAUGUCUCAUAGGCUGCAUCAGGAAAAAAAACACUGGACCAUCUGAAGCAGGAGAAACCACCACUGAGGAGUACGGUCGAGAGACCUGGAUGAUCUUAAUGCCUCAGUUAGGUCUCUUUGUCUUAGUGUCAGCUCCUCCCCAGCGCUGCACAUAUGCUUUCCUAACCACAAUACAAUUCGAAGCCUCCACCUUGGUUAACAUUUCAUCAUUCACACUCUGAGAAUUAUCAUUUCCUCUAGACGUGCUGACAAAACUCAUUGUUUAUUGCUCACAGCACGUCAGAACUGCUGAUUUUGCUUUGGACUGCAAGAUGUUUGGAAAGCCACAUGCUUUUCCUGCAGCCAGCCCAAUUCCCUCCACGCCGGCCUCUGUUGCUGUGGUUGCUCUCACCCAGGAUGCCAGAUCCUGUCCCCCACAAGUUAGAGCAGAUGAUAAAAGUUGCUUGAAGAAGUGAUGGGUUUCAUAUCUUCAGCAUCAAAUCCACAGAAUCAUGGAAUUCCUUCUGAUAGCCAGAUACACAGCCUCUCUAGCAAAGCUGGCCUGAGUCUUUUCCACCUUGCUUGCCUCCAAGUCUGUGGAUAAGUCCGUCAGAGGAGGGAGCCAGGGAGGAUGAUCUAGAUGUAAGUGCCCACCAUUCACUACCCCAGCAGUGCCUCCUACACCCGAGGGACAUUACUGGGGUCUCUCCCUGGCAGCAAUACUACUCUGGAAAGAUUAUAACUGGGAGGAGGCCCAAAUACAGCACCCAAGUGUUGGCUUUGCUCUGCCCCUCCAAACAACAAACAGGAUGAUUGGAGUGGGAAAUGGGAAAAUGGAGUAGUCCUGUGCUCUCAACCUCUCCAACAAGAAAUGGGAGUAGCACCUGGCUGAUCACCAGCCUGUUAUCAUGCCACAAUCAUGAAUGAUUGCUAAAUGUUGCAGCCAGAGAAAUGUAGAUCAUUAUUAAUUACUGCAUUUCAUAUGACAGGACAUAUAUUUCUCCAUAAGUCACUGGCAUCUAAGCUAACACAGGUAAGACAAAGCUAUUCCUGCAGAUCUGUAUGUUGCCCAUGGCUGCAUGGCGGAGCUCUCAUUUCAGUCCAGGAAAAGGAAGAGCUGAGUUUUUGAUGAAAGCUCAAUUUCUGUGUUGCAGGGCAAGUAGUGUAACAACAUAAUCUGAUCUACGAAACUAUGAGCUAUGAAGACUGUGGGCAGGAGCGUGCUACUGGCAGUACUGUCCUUCCUCACUCCCCACCUCACUGUCUUGCUUUACUGCCUCAGCCUGGCAAGCCCCUGUAGACGUGAGCUGUGUUGCGCAGCUUGUUAUCCCAAAUUUUGUUUGCAUCAUGCUGGAUCUGUCCAGGUGGUUAAGCAAAAGGCAUCUUUUUGUUGUUGUUGUUUAUACCAUGCAAUUGCUAUGUCUUUUAUUAGGCCUUUGCUUUUCCCAUGAGGAAUAAUCUCUGGAAACUUGGAUAGGAUCCCUUGGCUCGCAUUAGAAAAAGGUAAUAAAAUCUUGGGAACCCAAAAUGCUUCACUGUUGUUUUCACCAAACAUCUUUUCCCAUUUUGAAAUGUGCUUCUCUGUUCUAAUUUGUUUCAUUAUUUAGGGAAAACUUCUUCCUAACCUGCCAGUUUUCCUUCUUUCCAGCAGACCUGUGCCCUCCAAGAGCCCCGCAGACCUUAACUGCAUUCCACCACACUUCUGACUCUCUGUAGAGCUACAAGGAAGUCGAUUAUUUCCUCAUUGCUCUGGCUUCUCCAUCUGUCACUUUACGACAUAAUAUUUACUUACCUUUUCAAAGCACUUUAAAUCUCCAUAGGAAUGCAUUAUAAAAGUUCAUUAGAGUUAUUACUGUUCUCCAUUGUGUAAUGCUGAAAAAUGGCUUAUGCAAGCCUGGCUCCUCUGUUGCCUCUCUGACCCCAUCCACUGUCCAGGUGCUGCUGCCUCCUCUGGGGACAGCAGUAAUGCUCCCUUGGUUUCCCAGUCUCUCGGAUCCUACUUAGUCUGAGAUAGGAUAGGAUCCUACUGAGCCUGAGAGAGGGACAACUGUCUAGUCUCC
Molecule: long non-coding RNA, 2103 nt
Filed under: Anas platyrhynchos (mallard)
Lineage: Eukaryota; Metazoa; Chordata; Aves; Anseriformes; Anatidae
Description: lncRNA (ENSAPLG00020017954.1)
Source: RNAcentral